GAUGAACGCUGGCGGCGUGCCUAAUACAUGCAAGUCGAGCGAACAGACGAGGAGCUUGCUCCUCUGACGUUAGCGGCGGACGGGUGAGUAACACGUGGAUAACCUACCUAUAAGACUGGGAUAACUUCGGGAAACCGGAGCUAAUACCGGAUAAUAUAUUGAACCGCAUGGUUCAAUAGUGAAAGACGGUUUUGCGGUCACUUAUAGAUGGAUCCGCGCCGCAUUAGCUAGUUGGUCAGGUAACGGCUUACCAAGGCAACGAUGCGUAGCCGACCUGAGAGGGUGAUCGGCCACACUGGAACUGAGACACGGUCCAGACUCCUACGGGAGGAAGCAGUAGGGAAUCUUCCGCAAUGGGCGAAAGCCUGACGGAGCAACGCCGCGUGAGUGAUGAAGGUCUUCGGAUCGUAAAACUCUGUUAUUAGUGAAGAACAAAUGUGUAAGUAACUAUGCACGUCUUGACGGUACCGAAUCAGAAAGCCACGGCUAACUACGUG
RNAcentral lists this ribosomal RNA (497 nucleotides) under uncultured bacterium. RNAcentral's name for it is "partial 16S ribosomal RNA". It matches the Rfam family "Bacterial small subunit ribosomal RNA", at positions 28 to 507 of the family's 1533-position model. The record is from RNAcentral.